RNAcentral lists this ribosomal RNA (492 nucleotides) under uncultured bacterium. RNAcentral describes it as "partial 16S ribosomal RNA". It matches the Rfam family "Bacterial small subunit ribosomal RNA", at positions 29 to 507 of the family's 1533-position model. The record is from RNAcentral.
AGUGAACGCUGGCGGUAGGCCUAACACAUGCAAGUCGAACGGCAGCACAGUAAUAGCUUGCUCUUACGGGUGUCGAGUGUCGGACGCUUGAGUAAUACAUCGGAUUCUACUUUUUCGUGGGGGAUAACGUAGGGAAACUUACGCUAAUACCGCAUACGACCUACGUGUGAAAGCAGGCGAUCUUCGGACCUUUCGCGAUUGAAUGAGCCGAUGUCGGAUUAGCUAGUUGGCGGGGUAAAGGCCCACCCAGGCGACGAUCCGUAGCUGGUCUGAGAGGAUGAUCAGCUACAUUGGAAGUGAGAAACGGUCGAGACACUUACGGGAGGAAGCAGUGGGGACUAUUGGACAAUGGGGGAAAGGGUGAUACAGCAAAAUCGGGUGGGUGAAGAAGGAGUUAGGCUUGUAAAGUAAUGUAGUUGGGAAAGAAAAGAAGCAGGUUAAUACGCCGCUGUUCUGACGGUACCCAAAGAAUAAGCACCGGCUAACUUCGUG